UCCGAGUUGACCCCGGCAGUCUCCCAUGAGUCCCCACCAUCACGUGCUGGCAACAUGGAACGAGGGUUGCGCUCGUUGCGGGACUUAACCCAACAUCUCACGACACGAGCUGACGACAACCAUGCACCACCUGUGCACGGCCCUUACGGACCCCGCAUCUCUGCGAGAUUUCCGUGCAUGUCAAGCCUAGGUAAGGUGGGGAUGACGUAUAGGAGCUCGAC
Molecule: unclassified non-coding RNA, 221 nt
Filed under: uncultured Geodermatophilaceae bacterium
Lineage: Bacteria; Bacillati; Actinomycetota; Actinomycetes; Geodermatophilales; Geodermatophilaceae
Description: contains 16S-23S intergenic spacer region
Source: RNAcentral